This 982-nucleotide long non-coding RNA is filed under the name Homo sapiens (human). Its description in RNAcentral is "HSALNT0309695". The record is from RNAcentral. Lineage: Eukaryota; Metazoa; Chordata; Mammalia; Primates; Hominidae.
AGCCAGGCUUGCCAGCACUGCUCUGCUGGAAGCAUCCUGCAAAAGCCGUGCUUAUUUAUUUGCUUUUGUGAGCUUCAUCAGUUCUUCCAAUUUUCACCCUGAAAAUGAUCCUUCAAACUCAGCCGCUGGAUAAGACACCCUGAAAUGGACAUGCCUAAUGUGAAACCUUCUCGGCCAUUCGUGGCUGCAGCCAGUGGAAAAAGGACUUCACCAUUGCUUAUAAACCAUGAAUCAGUGUCCGCCUUUGCUAACGGCUUCCUUGGGGAAAAGUCACAGAUAUUGGAAAUUUCAGAUUGGCUUCGCAUGGUGGAUGGGACGCUCACCAGACUGCAUCCCUACAGUUAAUAUAGUGCCUACUGCAUAAAAGGGCAAAUCCUUAAAACUGAGACACCAAGACAGAAAACUACACCUUGGAGACUGCACACAAUUUCCUUCUACUGCUGUUUUGAAAGGUGACCCUGUUUGUAGCACGUUGUUACAGCAGCCCUAGCAAACUAACACAGAGAGUGUGUGUGCCCACUGCUGCCCAACAUGCUGGCCAAUGGGACAGGAGCUUGACGGCCUCAGCUCAGUCUUGGAAAAUAACGGGAGCCUCCAGUUCCUGAGCGAUCUGUUAUCACUGCAGAUCGGAUUUCCAGUUUACACGUUCCUCAGGGCUUCCUGCCAGGUGGAAGUGAGGGCGCCCUCUUCUGGCGUCUCCAGCAUCCUCCCGGCCCGUCUCGGCCGGCCCCUUAGCUCCGGUUCUCCGCGGGUCUGCAAUGAGAUCCUCGAGGUCCACGCCUGCUUCAUUUUGGCGUCACCUCCACUUCCUAGGGCAGGGCUUCCCCACACAAUAGCCCCUCAGUGCACAUUUGUUGAGUAAGUGAAGGAAUGAAGGAGUUGAGAUGACUUUGAAGCUAAAAUGAGUAGACAUCUGACUUUGUGCCUAAGAGAAAAUUCUUCCUAAGGCUAAGAUUGUUAAAUAAAGGAACUGGUCCACCCA